CUACCACACCUGCUGUAGUGAUGUGACACCUACCACUAGUUCUAGCACACCUGCUGUAGUGACAUGACACCUACCACUGUAGUUCUACCACACCUGCUCACACCUGCUGUAGUGACAUGACACCUCCUACCACACCUGCUGUAGUGAUGUGACACCUUUUACCACUAGUUCUAGCACACCUGCUGUAGUGACAUGACACUUCCUACCACUGUAGUUCUACCACACCUGCUGUACCAUCAUGACACACCUGUCACCUGCUGUAGUCCCAUGACAUACCUCCUCAAUUUCAUCAGCUGUAUUCUUCUAUGGAAACAUAUAUGGUUGCAGGGGUCUUGUGUCAAUGAACUGUGAUUAAAACACCCUCCAGUAUGUCUCUGGUUGUAGGUGACAUUAACCAAAUACACACUCUGAUAAAGUUAAGUUAUCAUCAUCAUCAGUGAUAGAGGUUUCAAAAGCAUACAAUAUUGUAUGUGAUUGUCGUGAACAAAUUUGCUAGUGUAUAUAUGUACUUACGCAUCACAUGUGAUAAAUUUGAAGAGUGUUUGAGCAAAAUGGGCUGGGAACUGUUUAACAAAGACAGAUAAUCAAACUGUAUGCAAUUUGUUUUUUGAGGAAAGAAAUUCCUUUGAUAAUGUGAUAUAUUUGUGAUAUGGUGAGAUAUUAAGCUAAUAACAUCAUCGGGUGGCAUCAUAGUCACACACUGUUUGGUCCCACUUACUGGUGACAGGUUUCUUUUCACAGUGGGUUUGUCUAAUACUCUUUUGGUUCAUGCUGAUGCUUAAAGGUCGGACUAGGUCGCACAAACUGUAACGUAGGGGUAUAGCGAGCUGUAGCCGUGAUGGAACGAAACUUUCACACAUCCAUAGCAGCAUGUAUGAGGUCACAAGCAACUAUGUUGAUCCAGUAGAUUAUAACAAUGUUUGAAAUAUAGCCUAGAAGUUAAGGAUUUCUUGUUGUAACCCUAAAAUAUGAUUCAAAUAUUUGGAGGGUUCCUAGAUUUCAGGACCACAAGGACCUCCAUAAUUCUGAAUACAAAAUACAUAUUAAUGAUGAAUCAAUUACAUAGGUCUAAGGUAAGUUUCAGGAGUUGGUUUAGAGUAAGACUUUCAACAAGACUUACAAGAUGUUGAUGGUCCGGCCUUUAAGAUAUGAUGUGGGUAUAUAAAGAAUGUGAUCCGUUGUAAGCAUAUGCUGUAUGACUAUUCUCCACUAUGGGCAGUCCUACAGCCUCACUGUGCCUUGUCCCAGACCUCAGCAUGGGGAGAUUGUCUAUGUGCUGACUCUGUACAUAUGAUAUACAUAUUAAACAUGCUAUGUUUCA
This is a long non-coding RNA of Haliotis rubra (blacklip abalone), 1321 nucleotides long. RefSeq lists it as uncharacterized. The transcript is spliced from 2 exons. The record is from RefSeq and is a predicted model, not a curated record. Lineage: Eukaryota; Metazoa; Mollusca; Gastropoda; Lepetellida; Haliotidae.